AGCGAACGUUAGCGGCGGGCCUAACACAUGCAAGUCGAACGCGAAAGGUCUUCGGACUGAGUAGAGUGGCGCACGGGUGAGUAACACGUAGGUAAUCUACCCUUUGGCGGGGGAUAACGUUCCGAAAGGAGCGCUAAUACCGCAUAAGACCACGGAGUCUCCGGACGCUGUGGGAAAAGGUGGCCUCUUCUUGAAAGCUACCACCGAAGGAUGAGCCUGCGUCCCAUCAGCUAGUUGGUAAGGUAAUGGCUUACCAAGGCGAAGACGGGUAGCUGGUUUGAGAGAAUGAUCAGCCACACUGGCACUGGAACACGGGCCAGACUCCUACGGGAGGCAGCAGUGAGGAAUAUUGGACAAUGGACGGAAGUCUGAUCCAGCCAUGCCGCGUGAAGGAAGAAGGCGCUCAGCGUUGUAAACUUCUUUUGGAUGGGAAUAAUAAUGUCGACGUGCUCGGCACUUGAAGGUACCAUCAGAAUAAGCACCGGCUAACUCCGUGCCAG
This 500-nucleotide ribosomal RNA is filed under the name uncultured bacterium. Its description in RNAcentral is "bacterial SSU rRNA". It matches the Rfam family "Bacterial small subunit ribosomal RNA", at positions 29 to 511 of the family's 1533-position model. The record is from RNAcentral.